This 1045-nucleotide unclassified non-coding RNA is filed under the name Hevea brasiliensis (rubber tree). Lineage: Eukaryota; Viridiplantae; Streptophyta; Magnoliopsida; Malpighiales; Euphorbiaceae. The record is from RNAcentral.
AUCAAUUAAAUGACUCUUAAUUCAUCGGCAUUCUACUCGAAGACAAUCACUCAUAAUUAGCUCAUAAAUCAACAAAUAACUCAACUUAUAAACUCAAGAAUAACAAAACACAAUCAAGAACUCACCUUACACAAAACUUUCUCUCCAAAGAGAGAGAGAGAGAAGAAUCGGUCAUCUAAUCAGCUACACUGCCCUCCCUUUUAUAGACCAAGUAUUCAAUGUCACCAUCAAUCCUUGCUUGCCUUCAGAGAUUAUUCUUGAUUCUUCUAUUAUACUCCAGAGUUCUCUAAAUAAUCCAGCCAAUCUUGCAAUGCUUAUUUCUCCAAUAUUUAUGUAUCGAGAGAGAUCUUGAUAUUUCCAGAUGAAUCUAGAUGUUCUCUUGCCUUCCAGAGACUUCUUCAUCCUUCUCUAAUGCUCCAAAGUACUCCAACAAACUCUAAAUGAACGUAUAAGACUUUGUUGAUGGUUCUCGGGUCAUCAACAACUUUUACAGCAUAUGUUGCCAUAUCAUCUUCAUCAACGAAUAUAAAUUUGGUAUUUCCAUCCCCUAUGAUGUGAACUAUUUCCUUCGGUAUACCUGUUGCUUCUACCUGGCCAAGUCUUGAGAGAAAAUAUGUUACACAAAGGUUACUACUCACGAAAGUAAAUGGAAUCCCUGCUUUUCUAAUUAUUUCACGGAUUCUAGUUUUGAUCGCAAGCCUUCCUUUUGCUGGUUCAAGGAUUUGUAGCCGAUCAACAUCGAACCCAAACUCUGAGGGGAAAUAUCUCUGCCAUUCACCAAUCAUGAGUUAAAAGAGCAGUUGAUUCAAUAAACACCUUGAUAUUUCCGGCUUCGGUAAUGGCCGAGGCGAUCUUGAUCUGAUCCUCCAACUGUUUAUCGGAAUGAUGUCCACCUGCUUGAUGGCUCUCAGCAGGCUGCUUGAUGGCUCUCAGCAGGCUCUCGUGAUCAUUCACAUCUCCCUGCACGAUAUACUUGCCAAGUUAGCCGGUGGCCCCGAUGAUGAGUAUCUUACUCUUCUCGCCCAUUAGUUGAAGAAAGAGCUCU